Molecule: ribosomal RNA, 477 nt
Filed under: uncultured bacterium
Lineage: Bacteria
Description: partial 16S ribosomal RNA
Rfam family: Bacterial small subunit ribosomal RNA
Source: RNAcentral
GAUGAACGCUGGCGGCGUGCCUAAUACAUGCAAGUCGAACGGACAGACGCGGAGCUUGCGGGGCUGAUGUGAGGGGCGGACGGGUGAGAAACACGUGGAUAACCUACCUAUAAGUCGGGGAUAACUUCGGGAAACGGGAGCUAAUACCGGAUAAGAUGCUGAACCGCAUGGUUGGAUAGUGAAAGACGGUGGUGCGGGCGGUUAUGGAUGGAUCCGCGCCUCAUUAGCUAGUUGGUGAGGUAACGGCUUACCAAGGGAACGAUGGGUAGGCGACCUGAGAGGGUGACCGGCGACCUGGGGACUGAGAGACGGACCAGAAUCCUACGGGAGGCAGCAGGGGGGAAUAUUGCACAAUGGGCGGAAGCCUGAUGCAGCAACGCCGCGUGCGGGAUGACGGCCUUCGGGGUGUAAACCGCUUUCGCCGGUGAUGAAGCGUGAGUGACGGUAAUGGGUAAAGAAGCAACGGCUAACUACGUG